ACGAAGGGGGCUAGCGUUGUUCGGAUUUACUGGGCGUAAAGCGCACGUAGGCGGAUGGUUAAGUCAGGGGUGAAAUCCCAGAGCUCAACUCUGGAACUGCCUUUGAUACUGGCCAUCUUGAGUCCGGAAGAGGUGAGUGGAACUCCUAGUGUAGAGGUGGAAUUCGUAGAUAUUAGGAAGAACACCAGUGGCGAAGGCGGCUCACUGGUCCGGAACUGACGCUGAGGUGCGAAAGCGUGGGGAGCAAACAGGA
Molecule: ribosomal RNA, 253 nt
Filed under: uncultured prokaryote
Description: partial 16S ribosomal RNA
Rfam family: Bacterial small subunit ribosomal RNA
Source: RNAcentral